RNAcentral lists this unclassified non-coding RNA (332 nucleotides) under soil metagenome. Its description in RNAcentral is "partial contains 5.8S ribosomal RNA, internal transcribed spacer 2, and large subunit ribosomal RNA". The stretch from base 1 to 120 matches the Rfam family "5.8S ribosomal RNA", at positions 35 to 154 of the family's 154-position model. The record is from RNAcentral.
GAUGAAGAACGUAGCGAAAUGCGUUACGUAAUGUGAAUUGCAGAUUUCAGUGAAUCAUCGAAUCUUUGAACGCACAUUGCGCCCGCUAGUAUUCUGGCGGGCAUGCCUGUUCGAGCGUCAUUUCAACCAUCAAGCCCUAGGCUUGCGUUGGAGCCCUGCGGCUGCCGCAGGCUCCCAAAUCCAGUGGCGGGCUCGUCGUCGUACCGAGUGCAGUAAACAUCCUCGCUCAGGGAACGUGACGGGUUCUUGCCGUGAAACCCCCCACAUAUCAAGGUUGACCUCGGAUCAGGUAGGAAUACCCGCUGAACUUAAGCAUAUCAAUAAGCGGAGGA